This 161-nucleotide non-coding RNA is filed under the name uncultured Eubacterium sp. Lineage: Bacteria; Bacillati; Bacillota; Clostridia; Eubacteriales; Eubacteriaceae. The record is from RNAcentral.
AGGUGUCGGUUUGACCGAUGAAAAGGGAAACAGGUGAAAGGCCUGUACGAACUCGUCACUGUGAAGCAGAAGGAAAUACCGGAAUCAGGCAAGCUGGUUCGGCCACUGGAAACGGGAAGGCGGUAUUUCUACAGCUGCAAGUCAGGAGACCUGCCUGUCGG